Molecule: RNase P RNA, 242 nt
Filed under: Anaerolineaceae bacterium
Lineage: Bacteria; Bacillati; Chloroflexota; Anaerolineae; Anaerolineales; Anaerolineaceae
Description: partial RNase P RNA component class A
Rfam family: Bacterial RNase P class A
About the family: Ribonuclease P (RNase P) is a ubiquitous endoribonuclease, found in archaea, bacteria and eukarya as well as chloroplasts and mitochondria. Its best characterised activity is the generation of mature 5'-ends of tRNAs by cleaving the 5'-leader elements of precursor-tRNAs.
Source: RNAcentral
GGCAUGGGUGAAAUGGUGGUGUAAAAGACCACCAGCGUCCGCAGUAAUGCGGCGGCUGGGCAACCCCCGUCGGGAGCAAGGCCAAGCAGGGAUGAGGAACUGCCCGUUCCGUUUGAAUCCCGGGUAGGCUGCACGAGCUGCCUGGUAACAGUCAGCCUAGAGAGAUGACCGUCCUUCGCGAGACCGUCCGUUCGCGGAUACCCUUGCGAGGACAAAAUGCGGCUUAUAGACCGGCCUGAGCA